Molecule: ribosomal RNA, 492 nt
Filed under: uncultured bacterium
Lineage: Bacteria
Description: partial 16S ribosomal RNA
Rfam family: Bacterial small subunit ribosomal RNA
Source: RNAcentral
AGUGAACGCUGGCGGUAGGCCUAACACAUGCAAGUCGAACGGCAGCACAGUAAGAGCUUGCUCUUACGGGUGGCGAGUGGCGGACGGGUGAGGAAUACAUCGGAAUCUACUUUUUCGUGGGGGAUAACGUAGGGAAACUUACGCUAAUACCGCAUACGACCUACGGGUGAAAGCAGGGGAUCUUCGGACCUUGCGCGAUUGAAUGAGCCGAUGUCGGAUUAGCUAGUUGGCGGGGUAAAGGCCCACCAAGGCGACGAUCCGUAGCUGGUCUGAGAGGAUGAUCAGCCACACUGGAACUGAGACACGGUCCAGACUCCUACGGGAGGCAGCAGUGGGGAAUAUUGGACAAUGGGCGCAAGCCUAGUCCAGCCAUACCGCGUGGGUGAAGAAGGCCUUCGGGUUGUAAAGCCCUUUUGUUGGGAAAGAAAAGCAGCAGGUUAAUACCCCGCUGUUCUGACGGUACCCAAAGAAUAAACACCGGCUAACUUCGUG